Hypoxylon sp. FL1857 is the source of this 85-nucleotide non-coding RNA. Lineage: Eukaryota; Fungi; Ascomycota; Sordariomycetes; Xylariales; Hypoxylaceae. The record is from the annotation of a GenBank genome assembly.
GCCCGACUAGCUCACCGGUAGAGCGCCUCACUAGUAUCCCUAUAAUGCGAUGAGGAGGCAACAGGUUCGACUCCUGUGUUGGGCA